This 876-nucleotide ribosomal RNA is filed under the name uncultured bacterium. RNAcentral's name for it is "bacterial SSU rRNA". It matches the Rfam family "Bacterial small subunit ribosomal RNA", at positions 45 to 916 of the family's 1533-position model. The record is from RNAcentral.
GGCUUACCAUGCAGUCGAGGGGCAGCAUGAACUUAGCUUGCUAAGUUUGAUGGCGACCGGCGCACGUUGUGAGUAACACGUAUCCAACCUGCCGAUGACUCGGGGAUAGCCUUUCGAAAGAAAGAUUAAUACCCGAUGGCAUAGUUCUUCCGCAUGGUGGAACUAUUAAAGAAUUUCGGUCAUCGAUGGGGAUGCGUUCCAUUAGGUUGUUGGCGGGGUAACGGCCCACCAAGCCUUCGAUGGAUAGGGGUUCUGAGAGGAAGGUCCCCCACAUUGGAACUGAGACACGGUCCAAACUCCUACGGGAGGCAGCAGUGAGGAAUAUUGGUCAAUGGACGAGAGUCUGAACCAGCCAAGUAGCGUGAAGGAUGACUGCCCUAUGGGUUGUAAACUUCUUUUAUAUGGGAAUAAAGUGGUCCACGUGUGGAUUUUUGUAUGUACCAUAUGAAUAAGGAUCGGCUAACUCCGUGCCAGCAGCCGCGGUAAUACGGAGGAUCCGAGCGUUAUCCGGAUUUAUUGGGUUUAAAGGGAGCGUAGGUGGACAGUUAAGUCAGUUGUGAAAGUUUGCGGCUCAACCGUAAAAUUGCAGUUGAUACUGGCUGUCUUGAGUACAGUAGAGGUGGGCGGAAUUCGUGGUGUAGCGGUGAAAUGCUUAGAUAUCACGAAGAACUCCGAUUGCGAAGGCAGCUCACUGGACUGCAACUGACACUGAUGCUCGAAAGUGUGGGUAUCAAACAGGAUUAGAUACCCUGGUAGUCCACACAGUAAACGAUGAAUACUCGCUGUUUGCGAUAUACAGUAAGCGGCCAAGCGAAAGCAUUAAGUAUUCCACCUGGGGAGUACGCCGGCAACGGUGAAACUCAAAGGAAUUGACGG